UGCAAGUCGUACGCUUCUUUUUCCACCGGAGCUUGCUCCACCGGAAAAAGAAGAGUGGCGAACGGGUGAGUAACACGUGGGUAACCUGCCCAUCAGAAGGGGAUAACACUUGGAAACAGGUGCUAAUACCGUAUAACAAUCGAAACCGCAUGGUUUUGAUUUGAAAGGCGCUUUCGGGUGUCGCUGAUGGAUGGACCCGCGGUGCAUUAGCUAGUUGGUGAGGUAACGGCUCACCAAGGCCACGAUGCAUAGCCGACCUGAGAGGGUGAUCGGCCACAUUGGGACUGAGACACGGCCCAAACUCCUACGGGAGGCAGCAGUAGGGAAUCUUCGGCAAUGGACGAAAGUCUGACCGAGCAACGCCGCGUGAGUGAAGAAGGUUUUCGGAUCGUAAAACUCUGUUGUUAGAGAAGAACAAGGAUGAGAGUAACUGUUCAUCCCUUGACGGUAUCUAACCAGAAAGCCACGGCUAACUACGUGCCAGCAGCCGCGGUAAUACGUAGGUGGCAAGCGUUGUCCGGAUUUAUUGGGCGUAAAGCGAGCGCAGGCGGUUUCUUAAGUCUGAUGUGAAAGCCCCCGGCUCAACCGGGGAGGGUCAUUGGAAACUGGGAGACUUGAGUGCAGAAGAGGAGAGUGGAAUUCCAUGUGUAGCGGUGAAAUGCGUAGAUAUAUGGAGGAACACCAGUGGCGAAGGCGGCUCUCUGGUCUGUAACUGACGCUGAGGCUCGAAAGCGUGGGG
Molecule: ribosomal RNA, 739 nt
Filed under: Enterococcus durans
Lineage: Bacteria; Bacillati; Bacillota; Bacilli; Lactobacillales; Enterococcaceae
Description: bacterial SSU rRNA
Rfam family: Bacterial small subunit ribosomal RNA
Source: RNAcentral